This 404-nucleotide ribosomal RNA is filed under the name Actinomycetes bacterium. RNAcentral's name for it is "Actinobacteria bacterium partial 16S ribosomal RNA". It matches the Rfam family "Bacterial small subunit ribosomal RNA", at positions 355 to 776 of the family's 1533-position model. Lineage: Bacteria; Bacillati; Actinomycetota; Actinomycetes. The record is from RNAcentral.
UGGGGAAUAUUGGACAAUGGGCGCAAGCCUGAUCCAGCCAUGCCGCGUGAGUGAUGAAGGCCCUAGGGUUGUAAAGCUCUUUCACCGGUGAAGAUAAUGACGGUAACCGGAGAAGAAGCCCCGGCUAACUUCGUGCCAGCAGCCGCGGUAAUACGAAGGGGGCUAGCGUUGUUCGGAUUUACUGGGCGUAAAGCGCACGUAGGCGGACUUUUAAGUCAGGGGUGAAAUCCCGGGGCUCAACCCCGGAACUGCCUUUGAUACUGGAAGUCUUGAGUAUGGUAGAGGUGAGUGGAAUUCCGAGUGUAGAAGUGAAAUUCGUAGAUAUUCGGAGGAACACCAGUGGCGAAGGCGGCGCACUGGACCAUUACUGACGCUGAGGUGCGAAAGCGGGGGGAGCAAACAGG